CUACUUAAGCAAUUCUGUUUAAGUUCUCAUAUUAUUAUUUAUAUCACUUUUAUUUUACAAAAUUGUCUGUUAUUUUGUUUUGGCCAUUCCUCAAUUUUCUAACUUUCUAAAUCAUUGUUAUUUUAGUAAAAAAAAUUUAAACAAUAGGUAGCUGUGAUUCUUAAAAUUCAGUUUAAGGGUCUGUUUAAAGAAAUGAUUUUUAAAACUUUACACCAAUUAUGAUCACUGAAAUAUUUGAAGUGUUUCUGUCAUGUAUAUUUUGUUUCCUAUGGAUUAUGUUUUUCUUCUUUCUCUUUUCUGCCUUGGAUUAGGUCAAUGGUUCCAAGCAAGGUUCUUCUGGCUGUCAUAUGGUCACAACCAGCAGGCAGUGCUACUAGCAUCACGUGGGAAGGAGGAAUAUAAAGAGGAGGAAUAAUGGAUUCGAGUGGGAUGGAUGAAGAUAUAAUCCUGACACUUGCUGGGUGAGAGAUCCUCACUGUUUUGUUUUUUGCUUUUUUGUUCUGUUAAAUGGCAAUGUUUGCUUUAAAAGAUUGUUGUGAGGCAGUAUAUGGGAGCUCUCUAAAGAAAAGUGAUUGGUGUACUGCAGGUGUACUGAAUAAUACUCUCUGAACUGAGGAGGAACUUUGAGACCAAAAAACAAUGCAAGCAACUCCGUAAAGUGCAACCGUGAAGUCUGUUUUGGGUAAGGUCUACCUACACACAGGCAGGAUCAGAUAGAUCAGGACCCAGAGGCAGUGGCAGCUGCACUCCAUGCCACCAGGAUGGGAAUUUAAAGGGACCAAAGCAAAAGAUAGAAUCUGACUACUAAGGGAGAAGUAUGUCCAUACCAAUGUGAACUGGGGCUUUCCUGGGGUGUCUCAUGACCAUUAUUUUUCACAGACCAUUAACCAUCUGCUUCAGCCAAAGAUAGUUUUCGUAUCAGAUGAAAGCAAGAGUAAGUGUCAAUCAGGAACUUAUCUAGUUGGUGCUUUCCAAAGUAGCCUAAAGCUCAGCAAAUGAAAAAAGGGGAAGAAGUAAGACUUCUGGUCUAAGAUGGAGCUGACAAUGUAGAGUCAGUGUGGUUCAGCUGCAUAGUGGUAAAUGGUCUAACAGGCACCUUGGCUGUGAUGUCCCUCCAAGUCUUUGCAAACCUACUCUAAGUCUUAAAAUUAUUUCGAAAUAAACUAGAGAAAUAGACACCUGAUUAGCAGCAGUCUUAGGGAGCUCUCACAAAGAAUAGCUCCUUGUUUAAGUCAUUUGGUGUAUGAUCAUUAGCGGAAGAUAUGUUAAACAAAAGUUUACAAAUGUCCUACCCCCAACCAAAGAGAGGUUCAGCUAAAUCAGGACUAUUUGUAUUUUGAACACAUUGGGAAUGCCUCUUUCUCUACAUAUAUGUAUUUUUUUCUCUUGUUGGUAUAUCUAAGGGGAUUAUACUACAUUUUGAUCCAUUAGUUACCACUAUGAAUGCUAACAUUCUUUCUAUAUAUGCAUAUUAUACUAUUAGUUAUAUUAUAAAAUAUAUAAUAUAUGAUAUAUUCUACAUGUCAUAUAUAUAAUAUUAUCAAUAUUAUAAUAUACAAAUGCCUUUAAAUAACCCUCACCUUCAAAAUUCCAUGCUUACAGCACCAUGCUAAGUGCUGAACAAAUUAAAACAUUGAUACUACACAUGAUGCUUAAUAAUUUCAUGUUCACUUGAGGAAAAAGGAAAAUAGGGGAGGAAAAAAUGUCAGAUUUAUAAGGUAGAAAAGCAAUAACAUAAGGAAAAAUAAUUUUUUGGAUCUCUACACUAACUGAAGUUAAUGUUUACCCUUUACAUGAAAUGAGACCAUAAAGUAUACUAGGGAUUUGGGGGAUAAUAAUGAUGAAAUGUUCUCUGAGUAAUAUUUAGGGAUUUAAUUGGGCACAUGUAUCAUACAUUCUUCUGUGAAAGGUGUAUCAAAAGCUACACCUUCAAAGGUGACUUGUAAGAUAAAACAUUAUUUAAAAAGAUCCAAAGAAAUAAGAUGAAAUGUGAUAAAAGGAAAAUCUAAUGGACCAAAUUAAGAAAUUGCUGUUAAUGUCAGAUGUCACUCCUAGCAUAGUGCUUUUAAAGAUCCAUCUUUUCUCUGAAAGCAAGCAGCUGAGUGAAUAAUGUCUUAGAAAUGCUUUUUUUCCCUAUGAUUAGACCAAC
Molecule: long non-coding RNA, 2149 nt
Filed under: Sus scrofa (pig)
Lineage: Eukaryota; Metazoa; Chordata; Mammalia; Artiodactyla; Suidae
Description: lncRNA (ENSSSCG00005030542.1)
Source: RNAcentral